GUAGGUGAACCUGCGGAAGGAUCAUUAACACGAAUUUUAUCCAAUAUCAAAACAAACCGUGAACUUUUCCCCUCCCUAUUUUGUUUUACAAACACGAAAUAGGCUAACCAUUUUUAUUUUUUUUUUUCAAAAAAAUAAUUUUUAACCACUUUAAAUUUUCUCAGUCUGGAUGUUUAAUUUACAUCAUAAAGACUAUAACUAAACUAAAAAAUUUUACUUAAGAUGUAAUGUCUUAAUGAAACUAUUUUUUCUUUACGAAAUAAAUAUUUUACUUAUAAGAACAACUCUUAGCAAUGGAUAUCUUGGUUCUC
This 311-nucleotide unclassified non-coding RNA is filed under the name rhizosphere metagenome. RNAcentral's name for it is "partial ribosomal RNA internal transcribed spacer region". The record is from RNAcentral.